RNAcentral lists this long non-coding RNA (243 nucleotides) under Homo sapiens (human). RNAcentral's name for it is "non-protein coding lnc-LRP1B-7:1". The record is from RNAcentral. Lineage: Eukaryota; Metazoa; Chordata; Mammalia; Primates; Hominidae.
AUGUUCAUUAAUCGAUUAUUUUCAACCAACCACAAAGAUAUCAGAACACUGUAUCUGCUGUUCGGCGCAUCAGCAGAGAUAGUGGGUACCGCCUUAAGCCUUCUGAUUCUACCAGAUUUGGGCCAACCAGGAACUCUGCUAGGAGAUGAUCAGAUUUACAAUGUUAUUGCUACUUCCCACGCAUUCGUCAUAAUCUUAUUUAUGGUAAUACCAAUUGUAAUUGGGGGUUUCGGUAACUGGGUA